GCGCAGCAGUCGCGAAACCUUUACAAUGCACGAAAGUGCGAUAAGGGGAUCCCAAGUGCCAAUACUCUGUAUUGGCUUUUGCUGAGAGUAAAAUCUCGGCGAAUAAGUGAUGGGUAAGACUGGUGCCAGCCGCCGCGGUAACACCAGCGUCACGAGUGGCGCCCACUUCUAUUGGGGUCUAAAGCGUCCGUAGCCGGGUCUCUAGUAACGUCCUCUGUAGAAA
This 223-nucleotide ribosomal RNA is filed under the name uncultured microorganism. Its description in RNAcentral is "partial 16S ribosomal RNA". It matches the Rfam family "Archaeal small subunit ribosomal RNA", at positions 330 to 562 of the family's 1478-position model. The record is from RNAcentral.